RNAcentral lists this ribosomal RNA (891 nucleotides) under uncultured bacterium. Its description in RNAcentral is "bacterial SSU rRNA". It matches the Rfam family "Bacterial small subunit ribosomal RNA", at positions 62 to 921 of the family's 1533-position model. The record is from RNAcentral.
UUAUUAUUCAGAAGUUCUUCGGGAUGGAAGGAUAAGAACUUAGUGGCGGACGGGUGAGUAACGCGUGGGUAACCUGCCCUUUUGUGGGGAACAACUUCGAGAAAUCGGAGCUAAUACCGCAUAAUAAUAGAGGAUCGCAUGAUUCUUUAAGGAAAGAUGGCCUCUGAAGAUGCUAUCGCAAAAGGACGGACCCGCGUCUGAUUAGCUAGUUGGAAGGGUAACGGCCUACCAAGGCAACGAUCAGCAGCCGGCCUGAGAGGGUGAACGGCCACAUUGGGACUGAGACACGGCCCAAACUCCUACGGGAGGCAGCAGUGGGGAAUCUUCCGCAAUGGGCGAAAGCCUGACGGAGCAAUGCCGCGUGAGUGAAGAAGGCCUUCGGGUUGUAAAACUCUGUCCUUAUCGAAGAGAGGUAGGUAUGUGAAUAAUGUACCUAUAGGACGGUAGAUAAGGAGGAAGCCCCGGCUAACUACGUGCCAGCAGCCGCGGUAAUACGUAGGGGGCGAGCGUUGUCCGGAAUCACUGGGCGUAAAGGGCGCGUAGGCGGUUUAAUAAGUCAGUGGUGAAAACUGAGGGCUCAACCCUCAGCCUGCCACUGAUACUGUUAGACUUGAGUAUGGAAGAGGAGAAUGGAAUUCCUAGUGUAGCGGUGAAAUGCGUAGAUAUUAGGAGGAACACCAGUGGCGAAGGCGAUUCUCUGGGCCAAGACUGACGCUGAGGCGCGAAAGCGUGGGGAGCAAACAGGAUUAGAUACCCUGGUAGUCCACGCCGUAAACGAUGGAUACUAGGUGUUAGUAGUUUCGAUGCUACUAGUGCCGGAGUAAACACAAUAAGUAUCCCGCCUGGGGAGUACGGUCGCAAGACUGAAACUCAAAGGAAUUGACGGGGGCC